ACUGAAUGAGAUUAGAGACACACAGGUAUUGCAGGUACAGGAUCCCAGACUCGGAAUCUGGCUUCUGGACCGAAGAGAUUUGGGGCAUUGAACAAACCCCUUCAACUUUCUGAGCCUCACUUUCCUCAUCUCUAAAAGUCUGGGGGUAAUGCUUAGUUGGCAGGAUGAUUAUUAACCUCAGAAGAGAUCAGAUUACAAGUGUCUGGCACAGUGUUGUUUAGUUAGGAUGCAUGUGGCUGCCAGAAACAAAAUACUCAACUAAAAGUGACUUCAACGCAAAGGGUUGAUUUUUCUCGAAGAACAGUAACACAGAGGAGGGAUUCCCUGGGUUGGUGCAGGAGCGGAAUGGCAUCGGAGCUCCAGCUCAGUUUCUCUGUGAUUCUCCUGGCUGCAGUAGCUCCAGGCAUCCUGUCCUUCUUCGACAAUGUCCAAAGCAGAAAAAUGGACACAUAUCUUUGCAUGUCUCUCGUCAGGAAAAGUUCAUCCCAGGAGGCCCAGUAACGUUCCUCAGCCUGAAUUGUAUCACAUGACUCUGUCUAGGCUUCAGGCGAAACUGGAAAAGUUUUGGGCACCUAGGCUGAGCAGGACAUUGUCCUGGCCCUGGGAAUACAGCAGAGAAGUGGCUGGAGAAACAGUCCCUGCACUCAUGGAGUUCCCAAUCAACCAAGGAGACAAAAUGUUUAAACAUCAUAUUUAACAAGACAAAGAUAUUCCCUGUAAAAAAGUGAAAUAACACAAGGAAAAAAUUAUUAAGCUGUUAAGCAACAAAGCUGACAGAAUCGAGGAAUCAAAGUUGAAAAGAGAAGGGAAGUGGACAUUUUACAAAUCCACAAACUGGAUAAUCCAUUCCAAAUACAAAAAGAAGCAUCAUUUGUUUCUAAUAAACAGUUUCUAGAUUACAUAUUCUUAUUUAUAAUCUAAUCUUGUUAAAAAUUUUAUUCUACUUACAAAGUCUUAACUUGUCUCCAAGUUUUCUUUUUAUGUUAUUUUGAGAAGUUUUUCUGAAAAGUCUUAUAAAUAAGUAUAUACAUUUUGGUUUUCCCAGACAAAUAAAAGCCAUGGUAACAAGUUUCCUGUAUGUACUUAUUUUUGCUGCAGUUAUGCUCUUUUGGGUUCCUAGACCCAGUUCCAAUGUGUGUGGAGAGUGUGUGUGGAGGAGGAGUUCUCAUGAAACUGGCUUAACACAAGGUUGACAUAAGGGAAGCCAUAUUG
RNAcentral lists this long non-coding RNA (1212 nucleotides) under Equus caballus (horse). Its description in RNAcentral is "lncRNA (ENSECAG00000042937.2)". Lineage: Eukaryota; Metazoa; Chordata; Mammalia; Perissodactyla; Equidae. The record is from RNAcentral.